Molecule: ribosomal RNA, 253 nt
Filed under: uncultured bacterium
Lineage: Bacteria
Description: partial 16S ribosomal RNA
Rfam family: Bacterial small subunit ribosomal RNA
Source: RNAcentral
UACGGAGGGGGCGAGCGUUAUCCGGAAUCACUGGGUUUAAAGGGUGCGUAGGCGGCUCGGUAAGUCAGUUGUGAAAGCCCCUUGCUUAACGAGGGAGGUGCGAUUGAUACUGUCGAGCUUGAAUCGGGAUGAGGCAGGCGGAAUGUGGCGUGUAGCGGUGAAAUGCAUAGAGAUGCCAGAGAACACCGAUUGCGAAGGCAGCCUGCUGGGCCUGUAUUGACGCUGAGGCACGAAAGAGUGGGGAGCAAACAGG